RNAcentral lists this ribosomal RNA (301 nucleotides) under uncultured bacterium. RNAcentral describes it as "partial 16S ribosomal RNA". It matches the Rfam family "Bacterial small subunit ribosomal RNA", at positions 509 to 807 of the family's 1533-position model. The record is from RNAcentral.
CAGCCGCCGCGGUAAUACGUAGGUGGCAAGCGUUGUCCGGAAUUAUUGGGCGUAAAGCGCGCGCAGGUGGUUUAAUAAGUCUGAUGUGAAAGCCCACGGCUCAACCGUGGAGGGUCAUUGGAAACUGUUAAACUUGAGUGCAGGAGAGAAAAGUGGAAUUCCUAGUGUAGCGGUGAAAUGCGUAGAGAUUAGGAGGAACACCAGUGGCGAAGGCGGCUUUUUGGCCUGUAACUGACACUGGGGCGCGAAAGCGUGGGGAGCAAACAGGAUUAGAUACCCGAGUAGUCCCUGUCUCUUAUAC